RNAcentral lists this ribosomal RNA (521 nucleotides) under Firmicutes str. C33. RNAcentral describes it as "bacterial SSU rRNA". It matches the Rfam family "Bacterial small subunit ribosomal RNA", at positions 1 to 521 of the family's 1533-position model. The record is from RNAcentral.
AGAGGUUUGAUCCUGGCUCAGGAUGAACGCUGGCGGCGUGCUUAACACAUGCAAGUCGAACGAAGAAGGUUAGGAAUGAGAGCUUCGGCAGGAUUUCCUUCCAUCUUAGUGGCGGACGGGUGAGUAACGUGUGGGCAACCUGCCCUGUACUGGGGAAUAAUCAUUGGAAACGAUGACUAAUACCGCAUGUGGUCCUCGGAAGGCAUCUUCUGAGGAAGAAAGGAUUUAUUCGGUACAGGAUGGGCCCGCAUCUGAUUAGCUAGUUGGUGAGAUAACAGCCCACCAAGGCGACGAUCAGUAGCCGACCUGAGAGGGUGAUCGGCCACAUUGGGACUGAGACACGGCCCAAACUCCUACGGGAGGCAGCAGUGGGGAAUAUUGCACAAUGGGCGAAAGCCUGAUGCAGCAACGCCGCGUGAAGGAUGAAGGGUUUCGGCUCGUAAACUUCUAUCAAUAGGGAAGAAAGAAAUGACGGUACCUAAAUAAGAAGCCCCGGCUAACUACGUGCCAGCAGCCGCGGU